This 257-nucleotide ribosomal RNA is filed under the name uncultured bacterium. RNAcentral's name for it is "partial 16S ribosomal RNA". It matches the Rfam family "Bacterial small subunit ribosomal RNA", at positions 524 to 776 of the family's 1533-position model. The record is from RNAcentral.
UACGUAGGGUGCAAGCGUUGUCCGGAAUUAUUGGGCGUAAAGAGCUCGUAGGCGGUUUGUUGCGUUCGGCUGUGAAAAUCCCGAGGCUCAACCUCGGGUCUGCAGUCGAUACGAGCAAACUAGAGUGUUGCAGGGGAGACUGGGAAUUCCUGGUGUAGCGGUGAAGUGCGCAGAUAUCAGGAGGAACACCGGUGGCGAAGGCGGGUCUCUGGGCCGAAACUGACGCUGGAGGAGCGAAAGCGUGGGGAGCAAACAGG